UACGGGAGGCAGCAGUGGGGAAUAUUGGACAAUGGGCGAAAGCCUGAUCCAGCAAUGCCGCGUGUGUGAAGAAGGCCUGCGGGUUGUAAAGCACUUUCAGCAGGGAAGAAAAGCCCGGGGAUAAUACCCCCGUGUCUUGACGUUACCUGCAGAAGAAGCACCGGCUAACUCCGUGCCAGCAGCCGCGGUAAU
RNAcentral lists this ribosomal RNA (192 nucleotides) under uncultured Gammaproteobacteria bacterium. RNAcentral describes it as "partial 16S ribosomal RNA". It matches the Rfam family "Bacterial small subunit ribosomal RNA", at positions 340 to 524 of the family's 1533-position model. The record is from RNAcentral. Lineage: Bacteria; Pseudomonadati; Pseudomonadota; Gammaproteobacteria.